This is a long non-coding RNA of Gasterosteus aculeatus aculeatus (three-spined stickleback), 1125 nucleotides long. Lineage: Eukaryota; Metazoa; Chordata; Actinopteri; Perciformes; Gasterosteidae. The record is from Ensembl.
CACACGGGGCACAGACGCACACUUCCGCGCGGAGCAGUCUCAGCGUGAUGACUCUGAAGCCCCAUCAAUAAGUAGACUGUAGCACUUAUUCGGAUAGAGUACAGUGAGGAGGGAAAAGCGAAGAAGAGUCUUUUGAAACCCACUGAGACACUUAAGCGAGUGGCGGAGAGAGGAGUCACGGUGGGUUGGCAAACUGCUGGAGAGGGAGAUCCGGAGUGUGACUGUCGCUCCUCUCACAAAACGUAGUGAAAUGAGCUCUGGAAUACAGAACAGACAUUGGAUGUUAAUUAUUAAGAUCGCUUUCUUCUGCUCAAGAGGAUUAUGGUGCCAUUAAGGGUGCCAUCAGAAGAGCACAGCACUGUGGCUCCGUUUUUGACUCCCCCCAAAAAAAGAUCUGCUAAUGGUUAGAAUUUCAAGUAAAUGUGGGACUUCUGUAAAGGCAUCAAGAUGGAGCGAAGCGGCGAGCGCACACACUGGGAUGUAGUGAAAGCUGAUAUUCUGCAUAUCUGUGUGUGUGUGUGUGUGUGUGUGUGUGUGUGUGUGUGUGUCCUCCCAAGGGAAAAGUGCAUGUGGGUCUACAACACAACCAAUAGACUUAUACAUGUACUGAUAUCAGUGCUCACGUACCAUGCUGUGAAUGGAUCGGGUCCAGCUUACAUCCAGGACAUGGUCAAACCCGACAUCCCGACCCGCACUGCAUCUGCAAAACUACUCGUCCCUCCCUCACUGAGAGCAAAACACUCGACUAGAUCUCACCUUUUUGCUGUCCUUGCGCCGAAAUGGCGGAACGAGCUCUCUGAAGACACCAGGACCGCAGAGAGCCUUCACAUCUUCAGACUAAAGACACACCUCUUCAGACUCUACCUCGACUAAAAGACUAACAAAUUGUAGCACUUAAAUUGUACUUGUAACGCCACUCAUCUAUAGCAAAUUGUAAAUUGGCUUAUUUGAGGAAAUUGCACUUUCUUGUUUCUUGUUCUUCUGAGUUUGUACCCUAUGGUUGAAUGCACUUAUUCUAAGUCGCUUUGGAUUAAAGCGUCAGCUAAAUGACAUGUAAUGUAAUGUAAUAAUAUAUAACUGCUCAGUUUAAGAUUUGGUUAAAAAAUUAAAGCUUGUGUAUUAGAA